UACGAAGGGCCCGAGCGUUAAUCGGAAUCACUGGGCUUAAAGGGUGCGUAGGCGGAUCCGCAAGUGCUUUGUGAAAUCCCAGGGCUCAACCCUGGAAUUGCUUGGCAGACUGCGGAUCUUGAGCUCGACAGAGGUUGUCGGAACUCUAGGUGGAGCGGUGAAAUGCGUAGAUAUCUAGAGGAACGCCGAAGGUGAAGACAGGCAACUGGGUCGACGCUGACGCUGAGGCACGAAAGCGUGGGGAGCGAACGGG
This 253-nucleotide unclassified non-coding RNA is filed under the name uncultured Phycisphaeraceae bacterium. Its description in RNAcentral is "contains 16S-23S intergenic spacer region". It matches the Rfam family "Bacterial small subunit ribosomal RNA", at positions 524 to 776 of the family's 1533-position model. Lineage: Bacteria; Pseudomonadati; Planctomycetota; Phycisphaerae; Phycisphaerales; Phycisphaeraceae. The record is from RNAcentral.